UCGGACCGAUCGACGAUCUGAACCAGCACGGGCAGGAGUGGGGGAACCACCUUCGCGGCCACACGGUCGCUCGGGGUGAAGCCGCCGACUGGCGGCCGGGCACCUUCCUGCCCGAACCCGACAGCUCACCUCGCAGGCGUGGGAAGGAAAC
RNAcentral lists this small RNA (151 nucleotides) under Nocardioides sp. RNAcentral's name for it is "c-di-AMP sequence". It matches the Rfam family "c-di-AMP riboswitch aptamer (ydaO/yuaA leader)". From Rfam's summary of the family: This family represents a conserved RNA structure found upstream of the ydaO and yuaA genes in Bacillus subtilis and related genes in other bacteria. Lineage: Bacteria; Bacillati; Actinomycetota; Actinomycetes; Propionibacteriales; Nocardioidaceae. The record is from RNAcentral.